Long non-coding RNA from Agrilus planipennis (emerald ash borer), 532 nucleotides. RefSeq lists it as uncharacterized. The record is from RefSeq and is a predicted model, not a curated record. The transcript has 2 exons. NCBI's taxonomy places the organism in Eukaryota, Metazoa, Arthropoda, Insecta, Coleoptera, Buprestidae.
AACGCUCACUAUGAAAUUGAUUUUUUCGUUCCUAAAAUAUCGAAGUGCUCUUAAUGGUUUUUAAAGAAAUGUAGGUUUUUUUGUUUUCAUUUUCGAAUCUGUGAAAAUAUUUUGCCAUGACGUUAUUGAAAUCUGCAUUGGUACAUACAUAUACAGAAAUGUGUAUUAUAAUUAGGACAGCUGUGAUAAAGACUGUAACCACGACAUGAAGACACCAUAAGUUUUCCUAGCUUUAAGUAUUUAAUGAUAUUCAACAGAAUCCGUUAAAAUUAUAUUAUUUGACCAGUGAAAAUAUAAAAACAAUAAGUAAAUUCGCUGAUAAAGAAUCAUCCAUCUAAAUGAUAUUUAUUGAAUUAGUAGUUGAUACAUUUCCAUGUAUUUAUUUUUUAAAUUUUGUAUUGCAGAAAGCAAUUUGUGACUUUACUGGAAGAUUGCAGGAAAACACAUUAUUUUGGAAGAUUGAUUGCUCCGUGUCAUUGCUUGCAGUGCUUUGUUUAAAAUGCAAUGCUAAUAAACAUUUUAAAGGAGAAAA